GGGGUUGUGGCUCAGUGGUAGAGCGCUUGCCUGGCACCUAUGAGGCCCUGGGUUUGAUCCUCAGCACCA
Non-coding RNA from Ictidomys tridecemlineatus (thirteen-lined ground squirrel), 69 nucleotides. NCBI's taxonomy places the organism in Eukaryota, Metazoa, Chordata, Mammalia, Rodentia, Sciuridae. The record is from Rfam.